RNAcentral lists this small RNA (139 nucleotides) under Saccharibacillus sacchari. RNAcentral describes it as "c-di-AMP sequence". It matches the Rfam family "c-di-AMP riboswitch aptamer (ydaO/yuaA leader)". Rfam says of the family: This family represents a conserved RNA structure found upstream of the ydaO and yuaA genes in Bacillus subtilis and related genes in other bacteria. The ydaO/yuaA element is thought to act as a genetic "off" switch for the ydaO and yuaA genes in its native state. It is believed that the element may be triggered during osmotic shock leading to activation of ydaO, a predicted amino acid transporter gene, and members of the yuaA-yubG operon which code for KtrA and KtrB K+ transporters. Lineage: Bacteria; Bacillati; Bacillota; Bacilli; Caryophanales; Paenibacillaceae. The record is from RNAcentral. RNAcentral also lists the same sequence under 1 other name.
CCAAGAUCUAAGCCGAAUUCCGGCACCGGGAAGCGGGGGAACCAGUUAUGGGUGAAUUGACUUCGCAACGAAGGAGUCAUAGGGGGACCUUCUCAACCGAAUCCUUAAGCUAACCUCGCAGGCAAAACGGAAGGGGUAC